UGGGCUGUAGCUCAGGGGUAGGGCACUUAUCUAGCAGGUGUGAGGCUCUGGGUUGCAUCCCCAGCAGCACAA
This 72-nucleotide transfer RNA is filed under the name Fukomys damarensis (Damara mole-rat). It matches the Rfam family "tRNA". Rfam says of the family: Transfer RNA (tRNA) molecules are approximately 80 nucleotides in length. Their secondary structure includes four short double-helical elements and three loops (D, anti-codon, and T loops). Further hydrogen bonds mediate the characteristic L-shaped molecular structure. tRNAs have two regions of fundamental functional importance: the anti-codon, which is responsible for specific mRNA codon recognition, and the 3' end, to which the tRNAs corresponding amino acid is attached (by aminoacyl-tRNA synthetases). tRNAs cope with the degeneracy of the genetic code in two manners: having more than one tRNA (with a specific anti-codon) for a particular amino acid; and 'wobble' base-pairing, i.e. permitting non-standard base-pairing at the 3rd anti-codon position. Lineage: Eukaryota; Metazoa; Chordata; Mammalia; Rodentia; Bathyergidae. The record is from Rfam by way of RNAcentral.